GGUAGCAGUGGCAGGAAGCGCAGGGUGCUCAACACUCAGGAAAGUCCGCCCACCAGUCUGGCAUUAACUUCAUAAUGCUGGCCACUUUCAGAUGAAAGACGGAGAAAUCCCGUGGCUCUGGCUCAGAAACGACACGUCCAUAACUAAGGAUGAUAGGUUCCCGCAGGAACGAUGGCGAAGCUGUUUGCGAAAACAGCAAGUUAACCCCUUGACGUUGGUUAUGGGAACGAUGAAACGGCGAACCCUGCUCUAUGGCAAUGAUCAUAGGAAGGUCCCAGAAACUUGUUUCCGUGGACCUGGCCGGUGCAAGUUCGAAUGAACGCUUAGUCAAAUGCUUCCCCGGAUCAUCGAUGAUUCACAGAAAUCAUUUUGGAUCCGACAGAAGGCGGCUUAUGCCACUCUACC
RNAcentral lists this RNase P RNA (405 nucleotides) under Candidatus Woesearchaeota archaeon. RNAcentral describes it as "RNase P RNA component". It matches the Rfam family "Archaeal RNase P". Rfam says of the family: Ribonuclease P (RNase P) is a ubiquitous endoribonuclease, found in archaea, bacteria and eukarya as well as chloroplasts and mitochondria. Its best characterised activity is the generation of mature 5'-ends of tRNAs by cleaving the 5'-leader elements of precursor-tRNAs. Lineage: Archaea; Nanobdellati; Candidatus Woesearchaeota. The record is from RNAcentral.